This 495-nucleotide ribosomal RNA is filed under the name uncultured bacterium. Its description in RNAcentral is "partial 16S ribosomal RNA". It matches the Rfam family "Bacterial small subunit ribosomal RNA", at positions 28 to 523 of the family's 1533-position model. The record is from RNAcentral.
GACGAACGCUGGCGGCAUGCCUAACACAUGCAAGCCGAGCGGUAGAGAUUCAUCGGAAUCUUGAGAGCGGCGAACGGGGGCGGAACACGCGUGCGACCUGCAGUUAUUCGGGGGAUAGGCUUUCGAAAGGAAGAGUAAUACCCCAUAAUAUAGUGAAUGGAAUCAGUUGAUAUUGAAAACUUCGUUGGAUCGAGAUGGGCCCGUGAAAGGCUAGAUAGGUGGUGAGGUAACGGCUCACCAAGUCUACGAUCGUUCGGGGGCCUGCGAGGGUGAUCCCCCAUACUGGUACUGAGACACGGACCAGACUCCUACGAGGGGCAGCAGUGAGGAAUAUUGGACAAUGGGUGCGAGCCUGAUCCAGCCAGCCCGCGUGAAGGACGACGGCCCUAUGGGUUGUAAACUUCUUUUGUAUAGGGAUAAACCUAGAUACGUGUAUCUAGCUGAAGGUACUAUACGAAUAAGCACCGGCUAACUCCGUGCCAGCCGCCGCAGUAA